GACGAACGCUGGCGGCGUGCUUAACACAUGCAAGUCGAACGGAGUGGCGAUCGGGUGCGUAACACGUGGGUGACCUGCCCUGCACUUCGGGAUAAGCCUGGGAAACUGGGUCUAAUACCGGAUAGUGUGGGAUGGGCGCGCGGCCUAUCAGCUUGUUGGUGGGGUAAUGGCCUACCAAGGCGGCGACGGGUAGCCGGCCUGGGAGGGUGGACGGCCACAUGGGUACUGAGAGACGGCCCAGACUCCUACAGGAGGCAGCAGUGGGGAAUAUGGCGCAAUGGGCGGAAGCCUAAUGCAGCGACGCCGCGGGGGGGAUGACGGCCUUCGGGUUGUAAACUCCUUUAACCAUCGACGCGGUAGAUGCAGAAGAAGCACCGGCUAACUACGUGCCAGCAGCCGCGGUAAUAC
Molecule: ribosomal RNA, 408 nt
Filed under: uncultured bacterium
Lineage: Bacteria
Description: partial 16S ribosomal RNA
Rfam family: Bacterial small subunit ribosomal RNA
Source: RNAcentral